GACGAACGCUGGCGGCGUGCUUAAUACAUGCAAGUCGAACGCAGUCGCGAACGGGUGAGUAACGUGUAUUCAACCUGCCCUUCAGAGGGGUACAACUGUUGGAAACGACCGCUAACACCGCAUACUGAAGUAGGGGAUUGCGUUUGAUUAGUUAGUUGGAGGGGUAACGGCCCACCAAGGCGAUGAUCAGUAGCCGGUCUGAUAGGAUGAACGGCCACAUUUGGACUGAGACACGGCCCAGACCCCUACGGGAGGCAGCAGUGGGGAAUCUUCCGCAAUGGACGAAAGUCUGACGGAGCAACGCCGCGUGAGUGAUGACGGCCUUCGGGUUGUAAAGCUCUGUUGAUCGGGACGCGGUACCGGAAUAGAAAGCCACGGCUAACUACGUGCCAGCAGCCGCGGUAAUUC
RNAcentral lists this ribosomal RNA (408 nucleotides) under uncultured bacterium. RNAcentral's name for it is "partial 16S ribosomal RNA". It matches the Rfam family "Bacterial small subunit ribosomal RNA", at positions 28 to 526 of the family's 1533-position model. The record is from RNAcentral.